AUGAACGCUGGCGGCGUGCUUAACACAUGCAAGUCGAACGGUGAAGCCCAGCUUGCUGGGUGGAUCAGUGGCGAACGGGUGAGUAACACGUGAGCAAUCUGCCCCUGACUCUGGGAUAAGCGCUGGAAACGGCGUCUAAUACCGGAUAUGAGCUACGGCCGCAUGGUCGGUAGUUGGAAAGAAUUUCGGUCAGGGAUGAGCUCGCGGCCUAUCAGCUUGUUGGUGAGGUAAUGGCUCACCAAGGCGUCGACGGGUAGCCGGCCUGAGAGGGUGACCGGCCACACUGGGACUGAGACACGGCCCAGACUCCUACGGGAGGCAGCAGUGGGGAAUAUUGCACAAUGGGCGCAAGCCUGAUGCAGCAACGCCGCGUGAGGGAUGACGGCCUUCGGGUUGUAAACCUCUUUUAGCGAGGAAGAAGCGAAAGUGACGGUACUCGCAGAAAAAGCGCCGGCUAACUACGUGCCAGCAGCCGCGGUAAUACGUAGGGCGCAAGCGUUAUCCGGAAUUAUUGGGCGUAAAGAGCUCGUAGGCGGUUUGUCGCGUCUGCUGUGAAAACUGGAGGCUCAACCUCCAGCCUGCAGUGGGUACGGGCAGACUAGAGUGCGGUAGGGGAGAUUGGAAUUCCUGGUGUAGCGGUGGAAUGCGCAGAUAUCAGGAGGAACACCGAUGGCGAAGGCAGAUCUCUGGGCCGUAACUGACGCUGAGGAGCGAAAGGAUGGGGAGCAAACAGGCUUAGAUACCCUGGUAGUCCAUCCCGUAAACGUUGGGAACUAGUUGUGGGGUCCAUUCCACGGAUUCCGUGACGCAGCUAACGCAUUAA
RNAcentral lists this ribosomal RNA (823 nucleotides) under bacterium. Its description in RNAcentral is "bacterial SSU rRNA". It matches the Rfam family "Bacterial small subunit ribosomal RNA", at positions 29 to 863 of the family's 1533-position model. The record is from RNAcentral.